ACCUUUGUGGUGUAGUGGUCAGCACGCUUGACGCGUAACCGAGAGGUCCGUGGUUCGAUUCCCGGCGAAAGCU
Molecule: transfer RNA, 73 nt
Filed under: Stegodyphus mimosarum
Lineage: Eukaryota; Metazoa; Arthropoda; Arachnida; Araneae; Eresidae
Rfam family: tRNA
About the family: Transfer RNA (tRNA) molecules are approximately 80 nucleotides in length. Their secondary structure includes four short double-helical elements and three loops (D, anti-codon, and T loops).
Source: Rfam by way of RNAcentral